Molecule: ribosomal RNA, 468 nt
Filed under: uncultured bacterium
Lineage: Bacteria
Description: partial 16S ribosomal RNA
Rfam family: Bacterial small subunit ribosomal RNA
Source: RNAcentral
GACGAACGCUGGCGGCGUGCUUAACACAUGCAAGUCGAACGGAAAGGCCCUGCUUUUGUGGGGUGCUCGAGUGGCGAACGGGUGAGUAACACGUGAGUAACCUGCCCUUGACUUUGGGAUAACUUCAGGAAACUGGGGCUAAUACCGGAUAGGAGCUCCUGCUGCAUGGUGGGGGUUGGAAAGUUUCGGCGGUUGGGGAUGGACUCGCGGCUUAUCAGCUUGUUGGUGGGGUAGUGGCUUACCAAGGCUUUGACGGGUAGCCGGCCUGAGAGGGUGACCGGCCACAUUGGGACUGAGAUACGGACCAGGCGCCUACGGGAGGCAGCGGUGGGAAAUAUGGCACAAUGGGCGGAAGCCUGAUGCAGCAGCGCCGCGUGCGGGAUGACGGCCUUCGGGUUGUAAACCGCUUUCGCCUGUGACGAAGCGUGAGUGACGGUAAUGGGUAAAGAAGCACCGGCUAACUACGUG